AUACUUACCGGGCAGGGGAGAUACCAUGAUCAAGAAGGUAGUUUUCCAGGGCAAGGCUUAUCCAUCGCACUCCAGAUGUGCUGACCCCUGCAAUUUUCCCAAAUGUGGGAAACUCGACUGCGUAAUUUGUGGCAGUGGGGGACUGUGUUCGCGCUCUCCCCUG
Molecule: small nuclear RNA, 163 nt
Organism: Echinops telfairi (small Madagascar hedgehog)
Lineage: Eukaryota; Metazoa; Chordata; Mammalia; Afrosoricida; Tenrecidae
Gene: U1
Rfam family: U1 spliceosomal RNA
About the family: U1 is a small nuclear RNA (snRNA) component of the spliceosome (involved in pre-mRNA splicing). Its 5' end forms complementary base pairs with the 5' splice junction, thus defining the 5' donor site of an intron.
Source: Ensembl